Long non-coding RNA from Brachypodium distachyon (stiff brome), 1082 nucleotides. RefSeq lists it as uncharacterized. The transcript is spliced from 3 exons. Lineage: Eukaryota; Viridiplantae; Streptophyta; Magnoliopsida; Poales; Poaceae. The record is from RefSeq and is a predicted model, not a curated record.
GCGUGCCUGAAAAUAAGGGAGCCCAAGAUUAGUUUGGGCACAUAGGAUAUGAUUAAAAUAUAAAUACCUUGAAAUUUCCACAAAAGUAGACACAUUUUGAAUUUCUGAAACAAAUGAAACCAGUGUGCAGUUGGCCUCCACCACAAUGAUCUUUGAAUUGGAUUACAGUUGAUGGAAACUGAAGUGUGAAAAGACUUGAGACAAUCAUUGUACUGAAGCCUGCUACUGAGUAAUCAUGGGGACCAAGCUAUAAGCCUACAAAAGAGAUGAUUCUUGUUGGCCUAGCAAAUAUCAGUGUUCUCAUUCUAUUCAGGACAAAGCUGCAAGUUUGCGAUUGCUACUAUGAAUUUCUCGGACUAGUCGAGAAUGGCCAGGGCUUAUGUUUUUGUUGUAUCUCAGCAUAAGAAUCUCGCAUGGUCCUGAUUCUUCAGAAACAGAUGUGUAUAUACUCUCUGACAAAAUUUCUUUCUAAUUUGCUAAGCAUGCAGACACACACAAGAACUUGACAGAUAUUUUUAGCAGAACGAUUUAACAAGUGGGUGCAUGGAACGAUUCCAUUAUUGGACCAUAGCAAAGGUCCUUAUUAUCGUUGUCUCUAGCAUCAUAUAUAUGACCAUUGUCUCCGUUUUUUAUAAAAAGAAAAAGAGAGCAUCUGGCCAUUGUCUAGUAUUGCGUCACAUGAUGGUGAAAUGCAAGUUCUGGUGCAUGCAGAUGCAGUAGUUCGUUACCGGCCACAUACGGAUCGAAAGGUUACAUGAACCAUGAGUACGGAAUACGAGCCCCCUCCUGAUUCAUCUCUCUUUAUGUCCCCGCCAACAAUAUUUCACGCUGUGUUGGGGAUUGGUCGGAAGAGCUACUCUACACAGCAAUAUGUCGAUGCAUCACCGGCCGGGAAAAGCAAUAACAGUACUUCAUGACAGCGUGAGUCAAGAAAUGCACAAAACAACACUGUGAAUUUAUGACUGAAUUGCAAUACGUCCAUACUGGUAUGUAUCUCUGUAAAUAGACAAAACGAGAAUGCAUUGCGUGGCGGCAACCACAAUCUUUCAAAGAGCGUCGAAGCUUGAAACCAUAUUCUUACA